UCUUAUGGCCAAUUUCCCCAAGCAGCCCAAGACUGGUUACUCACUGAAGCUAAGCAGGGCUGAGCCUGGCCAGUACCUGGAUGGGGGAUCACAUGAGAAAACUAGGUUACUGUUAGAA
Danio rerio (zebrafish) is the source of this 118-nucleotide ribosomal RNA. The record is from Ensembl. Lineage: Eukaryota; Metazoa; Chordata; Actinopteri; Cypriniformes; Danionidae.